Long non-coding RNA from Macrobrachium nipponense, 741 nucleotides. RefSeq lists it as uncharacterized. The transcript is spliced from 2 exons. Lineage: Eukaryota; Metazoa; Arthropoda; Malacostraca; Decapoda; Palaemonidae. The record is from RefSeq and is a predicted model, not a curated record.
GCUUGCAGCGUACUUUGGCGACAGAUCGGUCCUGUUUCAGGAUAAAUUUUUUUAUUUUCUAAGCAUGUAUCAUGUAACUCGCGACAAGGGUUUGGUGGUUAGGGGGAAGGUCUACGCGAGGUCCUGGAGAUUCUCUGUUCUGCGGUUUGAAGAUUGGUUGACGUCUAGGCAACUCUCUCAGCCAAUGCUUCGGGUAUGUGUCCUGGAACAGUGAAUUGGAACCCACGACAGUUUUUAAACGGAAGUGAGAAUGGAGUCUGGUGUUAAUGAUAGGACUAACUUUAUGCUCUAAGUUGCUCUGCAUUGAUGAUUCAAAGAUGUAAUUAGUUGUGACGCUUCAACAGAUAUUAAAUGCACAUUCAAAUAUUACUGUUCUAACCAUCAACAAUAACAGUUGGAAAACUAAGGUUUCUCGCCAUGCUAUCCAAAUUAAAUACCUGAAAAACCUCUUAUGGAGUUUAUCUUGAUGGCCAGAGUUUUAAGAUGCUGCCUGAUAUAAACCUUUUUAUGCCUAAGAAAACCAGAACUAGGCAUACCGUUCAUUAUUGGUAAUAUUUAAGAAAAUAGUGUUUUCUUCUUGAUAUAUAGAACUGGAAUGGUUGAUUCCCUAACAUGAAAGAAGUCAACUUCUGAUAUAAUUUAGAUAUUUAGUCGGAAACUGAAAAUUUAGAUUUGUUUUUAAAAACUAAUCUACAGUUUGUAGCCUUUUGUGUGAAAUAUUGAUUAAAAUUGUCGUAAAAA